UGGGUCGGAAUGGCACCCUUUAGCCAAUGC
Molecule: non-coding RNA, 30 nt
Filed under: Mus musculus (house mouse)
Lineage: Eukaryota; Metazoa; Chordata; Mammalia; Rodentia; Muridae
Source: RNAcentral